Molecule: long non-coding RNA, 2263 nt
Filed under: Ananas comosus (pineapple)
Lineage: Eukaryota; Viridiplantae; Streptophyta; Magnoliopsida; Poales; Bromeliaceae
Description: long non-coding RNA (ACOM_LNC021240)
Source: RNAcentral
UAUUAGAAUUACAGGCAAUCCUAUUGGAAUUAUUACAUGUGGUUAAUCCAGUCUCUAAUCUAGUCGGUAAUGUAGCAUUACAAUAAUGCAAUAUUACUCUAAGGGCGCGUUUGGUUCGAGUUAUGUAAUAUUACAGAGUAUUUCAAUAUAUCCAGGUAUCUUGGAUUUCUAAAUGAGAUUACUAUUCAUGCUGCAUUAGUGCGUUUGGUUUAAUACAGUAAUGUAUUGCUGGAUUGCAGCGUUUAUAGCGUUACUACUUUGCUUCUGUCUAUAAAAUUUACUAAUCUAGACAAUAAAAUAUAAUCUAUUCCAAAAUUGCCCUUAGUCAUAUUUCGUAAAAUUUUUUUUACUGUUUACAAACAAUAUUUUUUUACCAAAUUUUAUUUUAAAUUAACUUAAUUUUUUAAAUUUUAAAUUUUAAAUUUUAAAUUUUUACAACAAUUUAAAUUUAAUAUUUUAAUUUAAAAUAUGGAAUUUCUAAAUUUAAAAUCUAAAAUUUAAAUAUAAAUAUAUAUAAAAUAAAAAAUUAAAAUCUAAAUUUAAAAUUCAGAAUUUAAAAUACAAAUUUGUGUUUUAAAAUUUGAAAUUUGAAAUUUGAAAUUUAAAAUUUGAAAUUUCAAACUUAUAAUUUAAAAUCUAAACUUUUAAUUUAAACUUAAAAUUUAAAAUUUAAAAUUUUAAACUUAUAAUUUAAAAUCUAAAAUUUUAAUUUAAAUUUAAAAUUUAAAAUUUAAAUUUGAAGUUUAAAAAUUUUAAAUUUUAAAUUUAAAAAUUCAAAUUUAAAAAUUAAAAAUUAAAAGUUGACAAUUCAAAAUUUUAAAUUAAAUUUUUUAAAAUAAUAUAUUGAAAGGGUUUCGAGAGUUAGAGGGUAAAAUUUUCAUUUUACAUAAUAUGUAGUAUUACCGGUUUUCAGUAAUGCAAGAUACACGACCCCCUUCUCGUUAAUAUUUUCGGUGUAAUCCUGCUCGAUUUGUAAUGCUAUAUUAACGGUUGGAUUACAUAGCGGAUGAACCAAACACAGUAAUCCUGACAGGAUUGUCUGUAAUCCUGCCAGGAUAACUCGAACCAAACGCACUCUAAAAAUAUUAUCAAGGAGUGGGUAUCUCGUAUUAUUGAUAAGCAAGUAAUCUUGCAUAUUAUUAUAUAAAAUUAUAAUUUUACCCCUUCAAACCCUCCCAAACUCUUUUAAUGUGUUAUUUUUAGCGCUCUCUCUCUCUCUCUCUCUCUCUCUCUCUCUAUUUGCACGAAUCCUAAUAAAUGAGUUUCUAAAUUAAAAUCUAUUUAUUUUUUAAUUAUUGUAUAUUUAUAUAAUAUAUUUUUUUAAAUUUAUUCUUAUAUUAGUUGAAAUUAAUUUUUAGCUUUAUAUGUGUCUUUUUAUUUAUAUUGCUUAUUAAUAUAAUUAAUUUAAGUGCAAAUUAUAUUAAGUUAUUGUUUAGUAAAAAGAAUAUUAAAUAUGAUCACAAAGAUAAUUUUGGAAUAGAAUAAUAAUUUACUGUCAGGAUUACUGAAUUUUAUAAAUUAAAUUAAAUAUAGUAAUUCAAUAUAAACUAUAAUGCAAUAUCAGUAGUAAUCUGAUUCAGAAUUUUUGAUUAUUUCAAAAUAAAGGAUAUCGCGCCUUAGACAGAGACCUCCAAAGUAUAGUUCAUUCCUGUAUGUCAUCUUUUGUUAUGAUGAAUAGAGUUGUAUAAAUGUGAUGUAUUUUGGGAUAAUCAUGUGAUAGAUGAUGUAUAGAGAAGAAAACAAGAGAAUGUAAUUAUUGUAUGCAUGUAUGUGAUCAAAGGUGUUCACAAUACUUGUAUGGAUGCAAUAGAUUAGAACUUUCACUUUUGAUGUUGCUUGCCCUCGUGCAAGCCAUAUAUAUCAUUAUUUUCGCUGUGUAAAAUAUAUACAUGUUGUAAUUGUUGAGCCUUGGGCGGACAGGGAAGAUGCUGUCCGUUCAGCGUCUGUCGGCGUGCCCGAACCGACCUAAUAAGCGGGCUCGGGGCAUGACAAUAAUUAAACGGAUGAAAAUGAUAAAAGAGAUAAUCUAACGGCAGAAAACUUGAUAGCACCAAAUGUUUCGUGCUAUCGAUAGUGUCACGCCCCCGACCGCACUCCCCGAAGAUGGUACCGAUUUGGUCCGGUUCGAGGGCGGCGGGCGUGAGGCCGAACGGACAGAGUCGUCCCUGUCCCCCCUAGGCUAACCAAUAAGAUUGUACACAACAAGUUCUCAGGAAAACAACUUGACUACGUACACAAUCAUUCAACGAAAACAAGAGGAGAA